AUUGAACGCUGGCGGCAGGCUUAACACAUGCAAGUCGAGCGGGGGAAGGUAGCUUGCUACCGGACCUAGCGGCGGACGGGUGAGUAAUGCUUAGGAAUCUGCCUAUUAGUGGGGGACAACAUCUCGAAAGGGAUGCUAAUACCGCAUACGUCCUACGGGAGAAAGCAGGGGAUCUUCGGACCUUGCGCUAAUAGAUGAGCCUAAGUCGGAUUAGCUAGUUGGUGGGGUAAAGGCCUACCAAGGCGACGAUCUGUAGCGGGUCUGAGAGGAUGAUCCGCCACACUGGGGCUGGGACACGGCCCAGAUUCCUACGGGAGGCAGCAGUGGGGAAUAUUGGACAAUGGGGGGAACCCUGAUCCAGCCAUGCCGCGUGUGUGAAGAAGGCCCUAUGGUUGUAAAGCACUUUAAGCGAGGAGGAGGCUACUCUAGUUAAUACCUAGGGAUAGUGGACGUUACUCGCAGAAUAAGCACCGGCUAACUCUGUGCCAGCCGCCGCCGUAA
Molecule: ribosomal RNA, 501 nt
Filed under: uncultured bacterium
Lineage: Bacteria
Description: partial 16S ribosomal RNA
Rfam family: Bacterial small subunit ribosomal RNA
Source: RNAcentral